GUGCGCGUGCGGGGGCGAUGCGGGGAGCGGGGAGCGGGGUUGGCGACGAGAGGAGGGCGGGGAGCAGCGCCGGGUGCGGGCUGUGGGGCCGCCACGCCAGGAGGACAUAAAGCCGCGGGGAGCGCGGGGCUGCGGGAUGCGAGGGGUCCGCGGUGCGUUCGGCCCCGAGCAGAGGAGGUGGGGCCGGGCCCUUCCCUUCCCACGUGGGGAUGUAAAGGGCCGCAGCACGGGGCCGCUCCCGCCCCUCAGAGCGCACUCGAGGCGCUGGGUCCGAGCGCUGCCCGCUGCCAACCUGGCAGGAAAAGGGCUUGGAGGAGAGCGCUGGUAGCAGCGCCUGAAGGGCGGGGUGCGGCGCGGGCACGGGCACGGGCAGGGGCAGCUCUGCUCCUGCAGCGCGCGGUGCGGGCCCGCUCGGUGCCUGUGCCGCCCUUGGCAGCCUGGGGACACCGGGGACACGCGCGGCGGGCCCCGCGUUUCAGCCUUCCCCGGUUGUCAGAGGAACGAUUUGUGCCGCUCGCCGUUCACACGGAUCCUGCGGCGGCCGCUCGGGGCUGAACGGCUUCGGAAAUGACUCCUGCUGCAGUGCUUUCCUGGGAGGGGGGUUUGUGCGAGCGCCUGGCUGGCCCUGCCCGCCUGCAGGAAACGGGGAGAGACAAAACCAGGGCAGGGGUGAGGCUUUGUCAGUGAGGGAGAAAGGGAAGCUGCAAGAUCAGCUUUAAAAAUAGCCGUGACUGCACUGAGCGCCAGGGGGGCACGUGUCCCCUGUCCCGGAGCAGAGCCGCGGCUCGGGAGGGCUUCGGGGCGGGGUGGGGAGAUGCUGGCACAGCCCCAUAGCGAGGGAGGAAGGGCGAGCGCUGGGAGCGGUGUCUCCGCCGCUAGCCCUGGCAGCAGGUGCCUGCGGAGGGCGAUGCUACGCCACUGGGCACGAGUGGGGCAUCACCCGGUGCCAGAGGGGAGCGGGCAGCCCCGAGCCCAGCCUGCACUGCAGAGCUGCCGCCUGCUUAGCAAAGCUCACUGCAGGGCUCGUGCAGGAGGAGCUCUGCCAGCUCUGCACAGACAUGCACGUGCUUUGGAGCACGCUGAACAAUGCAGGGCCGGGAUGGAGGUGCCUUCCCUUGAGCGCAGUGUGCCCCGCUGGUGGGCUCUGUUGCCUUUCCCCAUUGCUUGUGACCAUGUUGCAACCACAAUGCUUGCAACCUUCUGCAAAUGUGAUGGGAAUGGGAAAGGCUCCUGCCUGGGAUCUAUGCCUCGGUGCUGGGGAGCCCAGCAGCGUGACCACGGUCCUGGGCAGUAUCUGGGGCACCGGUGCCUUUGAAAGCCACUCCUGAGCGCUGAGCCACCCUGCUGCGUCCACACCCCCGCUCCAGCUUGGUCUGAUCCUCCCCAUUACAGCUUCCCCGUGACCUGCCCUAUUGCCUCAUUCAGCUCUUCACUGUGCCUGGCUUUGAGGGAAGUGGAGAGAUUAGAUCAGAACGCAAGGCUUGCCAAUGAAAGUAUUCACAGGCUCCUCGUUGCUCCUGGAACAGAAAAUGAGGGAUGUCGCAACGAGACAGGGCAACAAGGCAGUGACUCAGCUCGCACCCUGAGAUGUGCCGGGGCAGCGGGGCUGGAGCAGGGGACAGGAGACAAACAGCGGUGACAGCCCUGUCCCCUUCACCCUGACAGAGAGCUGACAGUGCUCGUUUGUGGGUGUUCCCUCUGGUGCUUCCACCACACUCAUCACCAGUGUCUGAAAGGAUGAGCACUGGCCCCCAUGGAGCACGCCGCUGCUCGCCCUGCUCCUGUGGCCACCCCUCACCCCACACAUCGCUGCUUACCACCACGUUCCUGUGCCUGCUUGUCCCCAGGCAGGCGGCCUCGAUGCAGCAGCACAUUUGAACGCCAGCAGUGCCAGGCUGCACGUCCUGAGCCUUGGGAAAGGCCCUGGGCCGCCUGGCUGGAGGCUGAGGUCUGUGCCGGGCACAGCUGCACUAAGCAUCUCCCCAGGAACUUUGUUAGCUUCCAGGAACCAAGCCAGCCAUGCCUCAGUGCUCACCUGACACCCGCGGAGUGGGAGCUGCCGGUGCCGCUUCCCUGGCUCAUUGGUUUUGCUGCAGCACUGGCUGGUGCAAUUCGGGGACUGUGUUUGUUACUUCCCUGGAGGAGAUGCUGGAGAUGUUCCUCAGGCACUUGCUGCUGGGCCUCAAGAUGAGCAUGAGACCCUGGAGAGCCCCAGACAAGCAGGAGCCAUCAGGACACGAGGGCGUGUGCCAGGGGCACAUGGGACCCUAAACCCCUUCCCCAGCCACUGGGAUGUUACCAGCAGUUGCACUGGAGAUGUGUGCAUGUACACAGAUACCCAAAUCCCCAUUGGCUACAGGCAGGUGGGUCUGCUCUGCAUUGCCAGGCGGGUGGGGCACAACCAUUUUCCUUUGGCUACAUGAAAGCAGAAGGGAUGGGGGGGUCCCAUUGAGCUCAUUCUGGGGAGAAAUGGCUCCUGCUUGCAUCCCAAGAAGCCAGAGGUGACUAAUGGGGCAUGACACCAAGGAGAUGCCAGGGACAUCCCCGAUGGGAGGAGAUGCCAACCCUGCAGCUGCCCCGGCUGCCAGCCUGCUCCCGGUGGCACAGCACCACGCACCGUCCUUGGUGUGAAAAGAGCAGGAAAGUCACAGCUUGUCCUAAAAGCACGUUUGCCUGUUCCACAGUGUGUCUCUGCAAGAGCAAACCUGGUGCUGCCACUGCAGGUCUGAGCAACAAAGGAGCUCUGUCACAUCCUGUGGAAACUGAAAGCAUUGCAGGGAGAGUUGAGUUCACCUGCAGCACGGCUUCAGAGGAAACCGGGCACAGUGCAGCCAGCACGGGUGGCUCGGGGAGGGUGGGCAGGUGGGUUGGAUGGGCUGAGAUUGGCAGAAACAUCCUGAGGUAAAUCCAUAAAUCCUUCAGUAAAGGUCCAAAGAAAAGGAACGUUGAGAAUACGGCCUCCGGGACAAGACGAAAAGCAGGCAGUGCUCUGCCAUGCACCAGAGCAGGCGGUUAAAGGUGAUGGAUGUGCCAGGAGCCACAGAGCGGCCCAAGGAUGUGGAGGGUGAAGGGAGGAGGGCACCAAACCGCGCACGGGGGAGGCUUCACUGGGGCAAGGUCACAGCAGCACCAUCCCCAGUGAGUGCAGGCUGAGCUGCGGGCAGGGGGUGGGCUCUGCCAUGACCCAGCCUGGCUCUGGGCUCAGCACCCUGCACCACGCAGGACCUCACGACGAACUCGUGGGAUGUCAGGCUGCAAAAUGGGCAUGGGAGCGCUCAGCGGGCUCAGCUACCCUUGCAGAAGGAAUACACAAAAUAGAGAAAGCUGCAGGGAGAAGUGAAAAGUGAAAAUCAAAUUCUUGCAAAUGAUGGCAGGUAUCUCCUAUAGCCAGUGCGGCUGCGUGCCACCUACUGCCGAGGUUCCAGCGCAGUGCCACGGUGACGGAGCCUGCUGGGCACGGCCUGGCAGCAAGGCAAGCUCACCAAACACGAGGUUAAAUUAAAAUGAUCAAAAUAAUACCCUUCAAACACAGCAAUUUCUUUCGCAAACGGGGAAAGCAGCAAGAUGCAAAGCCCUCGGCAAGUUAAAAAACCACAUUCACGCAGGUGAGAAGUAUUUUGAGCGCUAUUUGGUUACUGCACAAAACUGAAAGCUGGUGUUUGCGAAGCGGCCAGGAGGAAGGAGCGGGCUGGGAGCCCUCUGCAGCGGGCAGGGAUGGGACCGUUGUGCAUGGAGUAAUGGGGGGUUAGCAGCACGGCUUGGCUUGUAAAGAAAAUGCUCAGCAGUUUGGAGGCAAGGGUAGCAACGAGUGGGCAGGGUGAGGAGAGCAGAUCCAACUGGUGAUGCAGCGUCUCAGUGGUUGGGAGGAGCUGAGAAGUGGCUGAGCAGAAAGAUGUGAAGUGCAAUUCAAGAUAAUGAAAUUUGGGGCAGCAUAAAAAACAUCGCUGCGUGGUGGCAGUGAUGGGCUCUGAAUGGGUUUUGUUGCUCAGGAGGUGCUGGCAGCCCAGAGCGACUCGCCUGCGCCUCCAGGCUGGGUGACAAAGCCAAGGGGACGUGGGGAGGGUGGCAGUGGGACGUGGCAGUGGGACACGGCCCGCGCAGGCAGGGCCAGUGCCUGGAGGACUCAUGGUUCUCUUCAGCAUGAGGCUGCGUUAGGGUGGGGUUUGCUGCGAUGCCAGAUUGGAGGCUCUUGAAAUCUUCAAGAGUUCUCUUUUUCCUCUCGCACUUUCCUGCCUGCCUUUUCCCACCGCUUUUCUUAUCAUUUCUCUUGGUAUUAGGGGCUUUGACUUGGUAAAGCACCUCGUAAUUUGGUUUACCAGAAAUUCUCUUCCCAAACUGAAUGUAAGCAGGUGGUGAUCGCCGUUCCCUAGGCAACAACCAUCAGAAUUACAGAGCUGCGAUCACCAAUUAACGCUGUUUUAAAAAGUAGCUCCAGGUGCUCACGUGACUUGAGCAGAGCUGCACCCGCUCAAGUCACAGUGCUGUGCUCCCAGAGCAAGGUAAGCAUUGUUUUGUAGAAGCACUGGAAAGCACCGUCACAGAGGAUGCUUUUGCAAAGACCAAGUGAAAGAAGCAGAGGAUAAGUAGAAGUCAGCAGUGCAGGCGGUGCUUGACGAUGCAGCUGACACCGCAGGUACCUCUUUUCCGUGCUCUGUAACCACAUCUGUUCCAUCCUCCCACAGCACAGUCAGCAUCUGGAGCCUGUCCUCAAAAGCAAAGAGAAGUGAGGGAGAGGACACCGUUACUUAGGACCCCUGUACUAGAUAGGAGGGUUUAAUUUCAAACAACAACAACAGAAAACCUUCGUCCCAGGAGGUCGCCUCUUCCAUCCAUCAAUGAUCUCUAAAACUGGCUCCAGUGGUGUGAGGUUGAGUUCUUGUUUCGUUAGUGGCAGAUGUGCUCUCUUGGUAUGACAAGUGCACGGAUGUUGCUGAAGUCUGGGGACGCUGGGGAUGUCAGAAUUCGGUGGCGGUGCCAUGAACCAGCACUGAGAGACUCGGUGCCAGAGCGCAUCUUUACAUUCCUGGGCGUUUGCCAGCAGCUCGGCUUCUCCAGAAACGUGGUAUUUUCAGCAAUAGCUGCUCUGCAAUUGCAGUUCAGUGGAUGAUUAAUGGCUGCGUGGGGGCCGUGCUGGUGCCCACUCACACACACUUGUAAAACUGCUCGCUCUGCUGUCAGAGAGGAGCUGGGUCACGGAAUGAAGGCAGUGUUAUUAAUGAGAAAAGACAGCUAACUGCUACAACAGCAGGACCAGCAGGUGGGGAGCUCUGCUCACUUGUGAGCGUAACUCUCCCAGCUCAGUGUGAAGGAGGGUUUCUAAUCCAGGUAGACAGCUGAGUAUCUGCUGCAGGGUUUCUGAACCAGGCAGGUACUGCUACAUCCUUGUCUCUUGUAGGUUUGUGGUGUUCUCUGAUUUAGAGCGAUCUCUUCAGUCCAUCCUGAAUGGCAGCUUCCACCUGAAUGGGAAGGCAGCUUUCCAGAUUGCAGUCCGGCUGGUACGUAGGGAACCAACACUUUCCAAGAGACUUCCAAGUAGGAGGAAUCCGAGGGCAGAGAUGAUCUCACCCAUCUGCCCGUUCACGCUGCAUCCUUCAGAGCCCGGCCAAGCAGAUGCUCACUGCAACGUCAGCCUCCUACAAAAGCAGCAACGAACCCCUCCAAGCAGCACUCCUGAGAGCAGACCA
Long non-coding RNA from Numida meleagris (helmeted guineafowl), 5684 nucleotides. RefSeq lists it as uncharacterized. Lineage: Eukaryota; Metazoa; Chordata; Aves; Galliformes; Numididae. The transcript is spliced from 3 exons. The record is from RefSeq and is a predicted model, not a curated record.